This is a small nuclear RNA of Argentina anserina (silverweed cinquefoil), 198 nucleotides long. RefSeq annotates it as U2 spliceosomal RNA. The transcript has a single exon. Lineage: Eukaryota; Viridiplantae; Streptophyta; Magnoliopsida; Rosales; Rosaceae. The record is from RefSeq and is a predicted model, not a curated record.
AUACCUUUCUCGGCCUUUUGGCUAAGAUCAAGUGUAGUAUCUGUUCUUAACAGUUUAAUAUCUGAUAUGUGGUCUAAUGGAUCACACGAUAUUAAAUUAAUUUUUUAAAGGGGUAGGCAUUCUGGUAGCUUGCUACCGGGGCUUACGCGUGUGUGUCCCCCUAGCGUUGCACUACUGCUUCGGGCUGGCGCACCCUAC